GAUGAACGCUGGCGGCGUGCUUAACACAUGCAAGUCGAACGGAAAGGCCCAAGCUUGGUUGGGUACUCGAGUGGCGAACGGGUGAGUAACACGUGGGUGAACUGUCCUUCACUUCGGGAUAAGCCUGGGAAACUGGGUCUAAUACCGGAUAGGAUCUCUUGAUGCACGUUGUGGAGGAGAGAAUUUCGGGUGUGGAGUGAGCUCGCGGUGUAUCAGCUUGUUGGUGGGGUGAUGGUAUGCCAAGGGGUUGGCGGGGAGACGGCCAGUGGGGGUGUACGGCCACAUUGGGACUGAGGUGCGGCCCAAGCUGCUACGGGGGGGAACAGGGGGGAAUAUUGCACAAUGGGCGCAAGGCGGGUGCAGCGACGCCGCGGGGGGGAAGACGGGCUUCGGGUUGUAAAACCCUUUCGCUAGGGACGAAGCGUUUUGUGACGGUACCUGGUGAAGAAGCACCGGCUAACUACGUG
This 467-nucleotide ribosomal RNA is filed under the name uncultured bacterium. Its description in RNAcentral is "partial 16S ribosomal RNA". It matches the Rfam family "Bacterial small subunit ribosomal RNA", at positions 28 to 507 of the family's 1533-position model. The record is from RNAcentral.